This 253-nucleotide ribosomal RNA is filed under the name uncultured bacterium. RNAcentral's name for it is "partial 16S ribosomal RNA". It matches the Rfam family "Bacterial small subunit ribosomal RNA", at positions 524 to 776 of the family's 1533-position model. The record is from RNAcentral.
UACGUAGGGUGCGAGCGUUGUCCGGAAUUACUGGGCGUAAAGAGCUCGUAGGUGGUUUGUCGCGUUGUUCGUGAAAACUCACAACUCAAUUGUGGGCGUGCGGGCGAUACGGGCAGACUGGAGUACUGCAGGGGAGACUGGAAUUCCUGGUGUAGCGGUGGAAUGCGCAGAUAUCAGGAGGAACACCGGUGGCGAAGGCGGUUCUCUGGGCAUGUUCUGACGCUGAGGAGCGAAAGUGUGGGGAGCGAACAGG